CUAGAUAGGAACGGUGUUAUUUUGGAAUUUAGAUUGUAGAUGACGCUGUUUUAGGUUUUUUUUCGGCUUAGUUAUCUCAAGCCAGUUAGUAAACCUGAUGUAACGAUCUUUAUAAGAAUUCUAAUGUAGUAGUCAACUACUGUUUUGUAAAUGUUUAAAUGCUAUAUAUCGAGUGAAAUUAAAAUGCUGUCGGGAUCCAGAUGCACGGCGAAUCCCUGCCUCAUCACCGCAGUUGUCGAUGCGAACGUUAGCUAGUUAACUAGCAAUUUAACUAGCUUUACAAGCGGUGUCAAUGCUAUCGCUCAAUAAAUGUCUACUUGCAAGUGUUGUAUUUUGGUAGUUAAUUGUGUGACUUAAGAUCCUGCCAUCUGUUUACUAACGUUAGCUAGGUAACGGAGUUAGUUUGUCACACAUUGUUUUCGUUCUCUGCUCAGUUUAGGAAGUCAACCACGGACGUUUGAUCACAAGAGGCAGUGAAAGAAAGGUGUGGAGACAAGGGGGUUCACCCUCAGUAUUGAGGCCGUAUUUCUCAACUGAAUUUGUUACACAAGAACUGCCAAUAUGGUGUUAGCCGACUUGGGAAGAAAAAUAACCUCGGCGUUGCGAUCACUGAGCAAUGCCACCAUCAUCAAUGAGGAGGUAUUAAAUGCAAUGCUGAAAGAAGUAUGUGCUGCCCUCCUAGAAGCUGAUGUCAACAUCAAAUUGGUGAAGCAGCUCAGAGAAAAUGUCAAGUCAGCCAUUGACCUGGAGGAGAUGGCCUCUGGGCUGAACAAGAGGCGAAUGAUCCAGCAUUCUGUGUUCAAGGAACUGGUCAAGCUGGUGGAUCCAGGUGUCAAGGCUUGGACACCCACAAAGGGAAAGAACAAUGUUAUCAUGUUUGUGGGUCUUCAGGGCAGUGGGAAAACCACAACAUGUUCCAAGCUGGCGUACUACUACCAAAGAAAAGGGUGGAAAACCUGUUUGAUAUGCGCUGACACUUUUAGAGCUGGUGCCUUUGAUCAGUUGAAGCAAAAUGCAACAAAAGCCAGAAUUCCAUUCUAUGGAAGUUACACAGAGAUGGACCCUGUCGUCAUAGCUGCGGAAGGUGUGGAAAAGUUUAAGAAUGAGAGCUUUGAAAUAAUUAUUGUUGAUACCAGUGGUCGACACAAGCAAGAAGAUUCCCUUUUUGAGGAGAUGUUGCAGGUUUCCAAUGCAGUGCAACCCGAAAACAUUGUGUACGUGAUGGAUGCCUCCAUUGGUCAAGCUUGCGAAGCACAGGCUAAAGCCUUCAAAGACAAAGUAGAAGUUGCCUCAGUUAUAGUGACAAAGCUAGAUGGCCACGCCAAAGGUGGUGGUGCUCUCAGUGCAGUGGCUGCUACUAAGAGUCCCAUCAUUUUCAUUGGUACUGGUGAACACAUUGAUGACUUGGAGCCAUUUAAGACCCAACCCUUCAUCAGCAAGCUACUGGGCAUGGGAGACAUUGAAGGUUUGAUAGACAAAGUCAACGAACUCAAGCUGGAUGACAACGAGGAGUUGAUUGACAAGCUGAAACAUGGUCAGUUCACUCUUAGAGACAUGUACGAGCAGUUUCAGAACAUCAUGAAGAUGGGACCGUUUGGCCAGAUCAUGGGUAUGAUCCCAGGUUUCGGAACGGAAUUCAUGAGCAAAGGUAACGAGCAGGAGUCCAUGGCCAGGUUGAAGAAACUCAUGACAAUUAUGGACAGCAUGAAUGACCAAGAACUUGACAACAAAGAUGGUGCAAAGCUCUUCACCAAGCAGCCGAACCGAAUUGCCCGAGUUGCGCGGGGUUCUGGGGUUGCCACCAGGGACGUCCAGGAGCUGCUCACCCAGUACACAAAGUUCGCCCAGAUGGUGAAGAAGAUGGGUGGCAUUAAGGGCCUGUUCAAAGGUGGUGACAUGUCCAAGAAUGUCAACCCCUCUCAGAUGGCUAAGUUAAACCAACAGAUGGCAAAGAUGAUGGACCCAAGGGUUCUCCACCAUAUGGGUGGGAUGGCUGGUCUCCAGUCCAUGAUGAGACAGUUCCAACAGGGUGCGGCUGGCAACAUGAAAGGGAUGAUGGGAUUCAACAACAUGUGAACCACUGAGCCUUAAAACAGUAAAAUCAAAAGAUUGUCAUUUUGAUUCAGCAAGUAAUUGUAAAUGAGGCCCACAAGAUACAGAAAUGGUAGGAUCAUGAAGCUUGUCCUGGGUCAUAUUCAUUAGGAACCAAAUGGAAGAAAUUGGAAUGAAACCAGGAGGCACUGAAACCUGGACUUGUCCAAUAAGAUACGCAGUUUUUUGUUGCAAAAUAUUUUUUUAUGUUUUGUUGUGCCAUAAACACAACCCUUAUUUGGAGAGCUGGUGAAGGGUAUGCUGAUAUUAGUUUGUGAAAAUUAUUUUUGUCAAUGUUAUAAUAAAAUUUGUAUUGCAAUGUUUUAAAAA
Salvelinus namaycush (lake trout) is the source of this 2421-nucleotide RNA transcript. It is a transcript of the gene named signal recognition particle 54 kDa protein, with no coding region annotated. The transcript is spliced from 17 exons. The record is from RefSeq and is a predicted model, not a curated record. Lineage: Eukaryota; Metazoa; Chordata; Actinopteri; Salmoniformes; Salmonidae.